CUACGGGUUGCUGCAGUGGGGAAUAUUGCACAAUGGGCGCAAGCCUGAUGCAGCCAUGCCGCGUGUAUGAAGAAGGCCUUCGGGUUGUAAAGUACUUUCAGCGGGGAGGAAGGGAGUAAAGUUAAUACCUUUGCUCGUUGACGUUACCCGCAGAAGAAGCACCGGCUAACUCCGUGCCAGCAGCCGCGGUAAUACGGAGGGUGCAAGCGUUAAUCGGAAUUACUGGGCGUAAAGCGCACGCAGGCGGUUUGUUAAGUCAGAUGUGAAAUCCCCGGGCUCAACCUGGGAACUGCAUCUGAUACUGGCAAGCUUGAGUCUCGUAGAGGGGGGUAGAAUUCCAGGUGUAGCGGUGAAAGGCGUAGAGAUCUGGAGGAAUACCGGUGGCGAAGGCGGCCCCCUGGACGAAGACUGACGCUCAGGUGCGAAAGCGUGGGGAGCAAACAGGAUUAGAUACCCCUGUAGUC
Molecule: ribosomal RNA, 464 nt
Filed under: uncultured bacterium
Lineage: Bacteria
Description: partial 16S ribosomal RNA
Rfam family: Bacterial small subunit ribosomal RNA
Source: RNAcentral